Ostrinia nubilalis (European corn borer) is the source of this 663-nucleotide long non-coding RNA. RefSeq lists it as uncharacterized. The record is from RefSeq and is a predicted model, not a curated record. The transcript has 3 exons. Lineage: Eukaryota; Metazoa; Arthropoda; Insecta; Lepidoptera; Crambidae.
GUUUGCAUUAAAAUCAUACCAUGAGUUCAAUUACCGUAUACUUUACUCGCCAGCGAUAAUUCGAUGGUUUUGUGAUGUCAUGUUGGUGAACAUGUUAACGUAUCCAACUUCACACUCUAUGAAUGGAUGAAUGAAAGAACGAAUGCCGCUCCUUUCUAACUAUAUAGAAAAGAUAGAGUAGGAAAUAACAAAAAUGUCAAAAAUAACACUGCAAAAUUUAAGUGUCCUAGAACAGUGCUUAAAGCUGAAUUAACAUGAUGAUUUUAAAUUUGUAUUGUUUAUUUCUUGUCAUUGUGACUUUGACGCAGCUGUUGUCAUGACAACAGAUAACAAAACAUGUUUUGUUGAAGGAUUAUUGAUGAAUAAUUUUCCACAAAAAAUUGGAUUUUAACCACGAUAGGAAAAUGAGAACCUGCGCCUAUCCGUUUAAACCGAUUGUAGAAUUUAUGGAAAGAUAUGGCGAUCUGAGUAUGCCCACUGAAGGGCCCCAAGAAAGAGCCAACAAUAGUCAACGGUGGGUGGAACUAACGGACACGCGAACGUGAAAUGCUGAUGCUACCGGCGACACGAAAACUACUGAGAAAUUGAGAAAAGUGUGGAGUGACUUUAAACAGCAAGAAGAAGGCAACUCGCAUACACAGAGCUGCCAAGGGAACACUGGAC